RNAcentral lists this ribosomal RNA (425 nucleotides) under uncultured bacterium. Its description in RNAcentral is "partial 16S ribosomal RNA". It matches the Rfam family "Bacterial small subunit ribosomal RNA", at positions 354 to 796 of the family's 1533-position model. The record is from RNAcentral.
GUGGGGAAUAUUGCACAAUGGGGGAAACCCUGAUGCAGCAACGCCGCGUGAGUGAUGAAGGUCUUCGGAUUGUAAAACUCUGUCUUUGGGGACGAUAAUGACGGUACCCAAGGAGGAAGCCACGGCUAACUACGUGCCAGCAGCCGCGGUAAUACGUAGGUGGCAAGCGUUGUCCGGAUUUACUGGGCGUAAAGGGAGCGUAGGCGGAUUUUUAAGUGGGAUGUGAAAUACCCGGGCUUAACCUGGGUGCUGCAUUCCAAACUGGAAGUCUAGAGUACAGGAGGGGAAAGUGGAAUUCCUAGUGUAGCGGUGAAAUGCGUAGAGAUUAGGAAGAACACCGGUGGCGAAGGCGACUUUCUGGACUGUAACUGACGCUGAGGCUCGAAAGCGUGGGGAGCAAACAGGAUUAGAAACCCCAGUAGUCA